GCUCAUGCUGUUCAUCCAAUUACAGCAGUCCAAAACGAGUGGUCAUUAUGGACAAGAGAUUUAGAAGAUGAAAUUGUUCCUACUUGCAGGUUUUUCCCCUUUCAUUAUCUUCUUAUGUUACAUAAUAAUACAAACCCACAAUGAUAACAUAUGUUGUUUGAUGAUAAUUCAUUUUUUGUAUCAGAGAACUUGGCAUUGGAAUUGUUGCUUAUAGUCCUAUGGGUUGGGGAUUCUUGGCUGCUGGUCCUUCAUUGGUUGAGAACUUAAUACCAAAUGACUUCAGGAAGGUAUAUAU
RNAcentral lists this long non-coding RNA (295 nucleotides) under Lactuca sativa (garden lettuce). RNAcentral's name for it is "long non-coding RNA (LSAT_LNC006534)". The record is from RNAcentral. Lineage: Eukaryota; Viridiplantae; Streptophyta; Magnoliopsida; Asterales; Asteraceae.